UAAGUAAACCGGGUGACCGCUCUGAUUUGUAAAAAUCAGGGAGGAAAGUCCGAGCUCUACCGGGCAGGGUGCUGGGUAACGCCCAGGAGGGGUGACCCUACGGAAAGUACCACAGAAACAUACCGCUCUUUGUAUUAAGAGUAAGGGUGAAAUGGUGAGGUAAGAGCUCACCAGCAGCCGGGUGACUGGCUGGCUGGGUAAACCCCACCCGGAGCAAGACCGAAUAGGGGGGCUAAAGGGACGCCUGGCCCUAACCCCGGGUUGGUCGCUUGACCUUGAUGGUAACAUCAAGGCUAGAUGGAUGGUCACCGCUCCGAAGUUUACUUCGGAGUACAGAACUCGGCUUAUAGGUUUACUUAGCUC
RNAcentral lists this RNase P RNA (363 nucleotides) under Chloroflexi bacterium RBG_19FT_COMBO_48_23. RNAcentral describes it as "RNase P RNA component class A". It matches the Rfam family "Bacterial RNase P class A". From Rfam's summary of the family: Ribonuclease P (RNase P) is a ubiquitous endoribonuclease, found in archaea, bacteria and eukarya as well as chloroplasts and mitochondria. Its best characterised activity is the generation of mature 5'-ends of tRNAs by cleaving the 5'-leader elements of precursor-tRNAs. Lineage: Bacteria; Bacillati; Chloroflexota. The record is from RNAcentral.